Molecule: ribosomal RNA, 460 nt
Filed under: uncultured bacterium
Lineage: Bacteria
Description: partial 16S ribosomal RNA
Rfam family: Bacterial small subunit ribosomal RNA
Source: RNAcentral
CCUACGGGUGGCAGCAGUGAGGAAUAUUGGUCAAUGGGCGGGAGCCUGAACCAGCCAAGCCGCGUGAAGGAAGAAGGUACUUAGUAUUGUAAACUUCUUUUGUCGGGGGACAAAGGCGGAGACGCGUCCCCGGCUGAGUGUACUCGAAGAAAAAGCAUCGGCUAACUCCGUGCCAGCAGCCGCGGUAAUACGGAGGAUGCGAGCGUUAUCCGGAUUUAUUGGGUUGAAAGGGAGCGUAGGUGGAUUGUUAAGUCAGUUGUGAAAGUUUGCGGCUCAACCGUAAAAUUGCAGUUGAAACUGGCAGUCUUGAGUACAGUAGAGGUGGGCGGAAUUCGUGGUGUAGCGGUGAAAUGCUUAGAUAUCACGAAGAACUCCGAUUGCGAAGGCAGUUCACUGGACUGCAACUGACACUGAGGCUCGAAAGUGUGGGUAUCAAACAGGAUUAGAUACCCUUGUAGUC